Long non-coding RNA from Drosophila ficusphila, 138 nucleotides. RefSeq lists it as uncharacterized. The record is from RefSeq and is a predicted model, not a curated record. The transcript is spliced from 2 exons. NCBI's taxonomy places the organism in Eukaryota, Metazoa, Arthropoda, Insecta, Diptera, Drosophilidae.
GGAACCCAAACUCAUUUUCAUCACUAUUGUUUUAUUGAUAUAUCCGAUUAUUUCUUUUGCAUAUGAUAAAGAAAAAUGUGAUGCUCCACCCGCUGUUAGAAGCCCUUGCUUGGGCAUGAUUUGGAAAUGGAGCUUUUA